Molecule: long non-coding RNA, 709 nt
Organism: Hylaeus anthracinus
Lineage: Eukaryota; Metazoa; Arthropoda; Insecta; Hymenoptera; Colletidae
Exons: 4
Source: RefSeq, a predicted model, not a curated record
UUGGGGAUAUGUACUUAAUAUAUCUUUAGAAAUAAAGGUUCAAAGCCAAUUACCUCAAACUUUUAUUCAGCAAAUACAUAAUGAAAGGAAACAAAUCUUGAACAACUUUAUUCGAAUUAUUUAGUAGGAUAUUAGCAACAUUUCGUGCUAAUACAUAUAACCUUACAUUUCAUACUUCAAUCCAACAAUUGUCAAAUUUUUUUAUUUUACUUUAAACAAUAUGUUUCUUCAUGUGUUUACAAUCUUACAGCAAAGGUAGAAAAGUAGAACUGGUAAAAAUAACAGAGGCAAUCAUAUCAAGAGCAAAAAUGUAAAAUGUAGAAUAUUUCAGUAAAUUGUAUUCAUGUCUUUUGGCACACAUUUGGAACCGAACCCAUCAAACUAUAGAUAGGGCAAGGAACAUUAUUGUCUUCAACGAUAGACUGAAUUGAGAAAUCAUGUUUCCUUAGGCAAAUAUAACAUGGGUUAAAUUAGACCAUACUGACCAGUUAAUUAAUUUAGUGGCUUACCAGAAGCUAUGGGAAGUGAAAUACAAGGACACAAACUUACAAUGGUACCACUAAGAAUUUGGGGUAGAAUAAUAUCCCUUGUGAUGAAAGAUGAACUAGAAGAUGAUACGCCAUUAUUAAGUACUCUCAUUCAAGUAAAUAAUAAUAAAAACACUAAUCAAUUAGAAAGCUCGUGUAUUAUUUACAAAAUAAAUAUCUUA